RNAcentral lists this ribosomal RNA (458 nucleotides) under uncultured bacterium. RNAcentral's name for it is "partial 16S ribosomal RNA". It matches the Rfam family "Bacterial small subunit ribosomal RNA", at positions 338 to 795 of the family's 1533-position model. The record is from RNAcentral.
CCUACGGGAGACAGCAGUGAGGAAUAUUGGUCAAUGGGCGAGAGCCUGAACCAGCCAAGUCGCGUGAGGGAGUACUGCCCUAUGGGUUGUAAACCUCUUUUGUCGGGGAGCAAAAGCGGGACGUGUCCGGCUGUGAGAGUACCCGAAGAAAAAGCAUCGGCUAACUCCGUGCCAGCAGCCGCGGUAAUACGGAGGAUGCGAGCGUUAUCCGGAUUUAUUGGGGUUAAAGGGUGCGCAGGCGGAUUUUUAAGUCAGCGGUCAAAUCGUGGGGCUCAACCCCAUCCAGCCGUUGAAACUGGGGAUCUAGAGUGUGCGAGAGGUAUGCGGAAUGCGUGGUGUAGCGGUGAAAUGCAUAGAUAUCACGCAGAACCCCGAUUGCGAAGGCAGCAUACCGGUGCACAACUGACGCUCAGGCACGAAAGCGUGGGUAUCGAACAGGAUUAGAUACCCUUGUAGUC